UACGUAGGGGGCUAGCGUUGCUCGGAAUUACUGGGCGUAAAGCGCACGUAGGCGGUCUUUUAAGUCGGGGGUGAAAUCCUGGAGCUCAACUCCAGAACUGCCUUCGAUACUGGAAGACUUGAGUCCGGGAGAGGUGAGUGGAACUGCGAGUGUAGAGGUGAAAUUCGUAGAUAUUCGCAAGAACCCCAGUGGCGAAGGCGGCUCACUGGCCCGGUACUGACGCUGAGGUGCGAAAGCGUGGGGAGCAAACAGG
This 253-nucleotide ribosomal RNA is filed under the name uncultured bacterium. RNAcentral's name for it is "partial 16S ribosomal RNA". It matches the Rfam family "Bacterial small subunit ribosomal RNA", at positions 524 to 776 of the family's 1533-position model. The record is from RNAcentral.